CUCUGAUUCAGGCUAACUGGGUCUUUGUGCGCUUGCGUAUCUGGAGUUGCGCGUCCGCUGUAGGCCGCUUGCGGCUGUGAGGGUCCGCCGAGCUGUCGCGGGUUUAUUUAAUCGCCACGGACUCUUGUGUGAGACUCUUGUUCCUCCUGCGGCUGUCCAGCGCUUCCCGGUUCUGUGUGGGCACGAGUCCGUGAGAGGGGUCACGCCCUUCUUCCCCAGAGGGUGUGGAGCGCGGGGUUCGCGCAGGGAGGGAGGAGACAGAAAAAUGGUGGCAUCGUUGAAACUGAAAGACUCUGCCUUCACUAUUCAGAAGUUGGGCUGUCAGUCAACAGCUGACCUCAGGGAAUCAAGAAAACUGACUUUGCAGAGGAAGACCCUUUGGAUCUGGGUCCCAGAGCACUCAGCUGAAGACCUGCAGAGUCUGUGAAAUAGACAGGUGGCUUGGCCCAUAAUUUGAGAAACAAGAUACCCUUGAAAAGUCGCAUCUUACCAAGUUGUUUUACCUGAUGGAGGAUGGACACCAACCAAACAACUGGAUGUACAAACUAGGUGCCAUGGUGGAUUAGAAGGAGAGUGCUGGCAAAAGUUUUCAAAUUUGAGUAGACUACUAAGACAGG
This 617-nucleotide long non-coding RNA is filed under the name Vulpes vulpes (red fox). RNAcentral describes it as "lncRNA (ENSVVUG00000013977.1)". Lineage: Eukaryota; Metazoa; Chordata; Mammalia; Carnivora; Canidae. The record is from RNAcentral.